Molecule: microRNA precursor, 87 nt
Filed under: Chlorocebus sabaeus (green monkey)
Lineage: Eukaryota; Metazoa; Chordata; Mammalia; Primates; Cercopithecidae
Description: miRNA (ENSCSAG00000025589.1)
Source: RNAcentral
CCGCCUCCCGCGGCCAUCGCCGGGCCCGCUCCCGCCGCCGACGCCCAGGUGCGCCAGGUGCGGGCCGGGCCGGCCGGGCGGGGGUCG